Molecule: ribosomal RNA, 253 nt
Filed under: uncultured bacterium
Lineage: Bacteria
Description: partial 16S ribosomal RNA
Rfam family: Bacterial small subunit ribosomal RNA
Source: RNAcentral
UACAGAGGUCCCAAGCGUUGUUCGGAUUCACUGGGCGUAAAGGGUGCGUAGGUGGUCAGGUAAGUCUGAUGUGAAAUCCCGCAGCUCAACUGCGGAAUGGCAUUGGAUACUAUUUGGCUAGAGGGUUGGAGGGGGGGCUGGAAUUCUCGGUGUAGCAGUGAAAUGCGUAGAUAUCGAGAGGAACACCAGUGGCGAAAGCGAGUCCCUGGACAACUCCUGACGCUGAGGCACGAAAGCUAGGGGAGCAAACAGG